CCUACGGGAGGCAGCAGUGAGGAAUAUUGGUCAAUGGACGAGAGUCUGAACCAGCCAAGUAGUGUGAAGGAUGACUGCCCUAUGGGUUGUAAACUUCUUUUAUAUGGGAAUAAAAUGUUCCACGUGUGGGAUUUUGUAUGUACCAUAUGAAUAAGGAUCGGCUAACUCCGUGCCAGCAGCCGCGGUAAUACGGAGGAUCCGAGCGUUAUCCGGAUUUAUUGGGUUUAAAGGGAGCGUAGGUGGAUUGUUAAGUCAGUUGUGAAAGUUUGCGGCUCAACCGUAAAAUUGCAGUUGAGACUGGCAGUCUUGAGUACAGUAGAGGUGGGCGGAAUUCGUGGUGUAGCGGUGAAAUGCUUAGAUAUCACGAAGAACUCCGAUUGCGAAGGCAGUUCACUGGACUGCAACUGACACUGAGGCUCGAAAGUGUGGGUAUCAAACAGGAUUAGAUACCCCUGUAGUC
This 460-nucleotide ribosomal RNA is filed under the name uncultured bacterium. Its description in RNAcentral is "partial 16S ribosomal RNA". It matches the Rfam family "Bacterial small subunit ribosomal RNA", at positions 338 to 795 of the family's 1533-position model. The record is from RNAcentral.